CCUACGGGAGGCAGCAGUGGGGGAUAUUGCACAAUGGGGGAAACCCUGAUGCAGCGACGCCGCGUGUGGGAAGACGGUCCUCUGGAUUGUAAACCACUGUCCCCAGGGACGAAGAUGACGGUACCUGGGGAGGAAGCUCCGGCUAACUACGUGCCAGCAGCCGCGGUAAUCCGUAGGGAGCGAGCGUUGUCCGGAAUUACUGGGUGUAAAGGGAGCGUAGGCGGGACUGCAAGCUGGGUGUAAAAUCUACCGGCUCAACCGGUAGCCGCACUCAAAACUGCAGUUCUUGAGUGAAGGAGAGGCAGGCGGAAUUCCUAGUGUAGCGGUGAAAUGCGUAGAUAUUAGGAGGAACACCAGUGGCGAAGGCGGCCUGCUGGGCUUUUACUGACGCUGAGGCUCGAAAGUGUGGGGAGCAAACAGGAUUAGAUACCCGAGUAGUC
This 440-nucleotide ribosomal RNA is filed under the name uncultured bacterium. RNAcentral describes it as "partial 16S ribosomal RNA". It matches the Rfam family "Bacterial small subunit ribosomal RNA", at positions 338 to 795 of the family's 1533-position model. The record is from RNAcentral.